AUUGAACGCUGGCGGCAGGCCUAACACAUGCAAGUCGAACGAGUGGCGGACGGGUGAGUAAUGUCUGGGAAACUGCCUGAUGGAGGGGGAUAACUACUGGAAACGGUAGCUAAUACCGCAUACCAUCGGAUGUGCCCAGAUGGGAUUAGCUAGUAGGUGGGGUAAAGGCUCACCUAGGCGACGAUCCCUAGCUGGUCUGAGAGGAUGACACGCAAAACUGGGACGGGGACACGGUCCAGACUCCGACGUGAGGCAGCAGUGGGGAAUAUUGCACAAUGGGCGCAAGUCUGAUGCAGCCAUGCCGCGUGUGUGAAGAAGGGCUUCGGAUUGUAAAGCACUUUAAGUUGGGAGGCGUUACCAACAGAAUAAGCACCGGCUAACUUCGUGCCAGCAGCCGCGGUAAUAC
Molecule: ribosomal RNA, 406 nt
Filed under: uncultured bacterium
Lineage: Bacteria
Description: partial 16S ribosomal RNA
Rfam family: Bacterial small subunit ribosomal RNA
Source: RNAcentral